AUUGAACGCUGGCGGCAUGCCUUACACAUGCAAGUCGAACGGCAGCACGGGUGCUUGCACCUGGUGGCGAGUGGCGAACGGGUGAGUAAUACAUCGGAACAUGUCCUGUAGUGGGGGAUAGCCCGGCGAAAGCCGGAUUAAUACCGCAUACGAUCUACGGAUGAAAGCGGGGGACCUUCGGGCCUCGCGCUAUCGGGUUGGCCGAUGGCUGAUUAGCUAGUUGGUGGGGUAAAGGCCUACCAAGGCGACGAUCAGUAGCUGGUCUGAGAGGACGACCAGCCACACUGGGACUGAGACACGGUCCAGACUCCUACGGGAGGCAGCAGUGGGGAAUUUUGGACAAUGGGCGAAAGCCUGAUCCAGCAAUGCCGCGUGUGUGAAGAAGGCCUUCGGGUUGUAAAGCACUUUUGUCCGGAAAGAAAUGCUUGGCCCUAAUACGGUCGGGGGAUGACGGUACCGGAAGAAUAAGCACCGGCUAACUACGUG
This 486-nucleotide ribosomal RNA is filed under the name uncultured bacterium. Its description in RNAcentral is "partial 16S ribosomal RNA". It matches the Rfam family "Bacterial small subunit ribosomal RNA", at positions 30 to 507 of the family's 1533-position model. The record is from RNAcentral.